UACCAGCACCCCGAGUGGUCGGGACGUUUAUUGGGCCUAAAGCAUCCGUAGCCGGUUCUACAAGUCUUCCGUUAAAUCCACCUGCUUAACAGAUGGGCUGCGGAAGAUACUAUGGAGCUAGGAGGCGGGAGAGGCAAGCGGUACUCGAUGGGUAGGGGUAAAAUCCGUUGAUCCAUUGAAGACCACCAGUGGCGAAGGCGGCUUGCCAGAACGCGCUCGACGGUGAGGGAUGAAAGCUGGGGGAGCAAACCGGAUUAGAAUCGGACC
Molecule: ribosomal RNA, 267 nt
Filed under: uncultured bacterium
Lineage: Bacteria
Description: partial 16S ribosomal RNA
Rfam family: Archaeal small subunit ribosomal RNA
Source: RNAcentral